Molecule: ribosomal RNA, 767 nt
Filed under: Arthrobacter sp. T14Y
Lineage: Bacteria; Bacillati; Actinomycetota; Actinomycetes; Micrococcales; Micrococcaceae
Description: bacterial SSU rRNA
Rfam family: Bacterial small subunit ribosomal RNA
Source: RNAcentral
UCGAACGAUGAUCCCAGCUUGCUGGGGGAUUAGUGGCGAACGGGUGAGUAACACGUGAGUAACCUGCCCUUGACUCUGGGAUAAGCCUGGGAAACUGGGUCUAAUACCGGAUACGACCAUCUGGCGCAUGUCAUGGUGGUGGAAAGCUUUUGUGGUUUUGGAUGGACUCGCGGCCUAUCAGCUUGUUGGUGGGGUAAUGGCCUACCAAGGCGACGACGGGUAGCCGGCCUGAGAGGGUGACCGGCCACACUGGGACUGAGACACGGCCCAGACUCCUACGGGAGGCAGCAGUGGGGAAUAUUGCACAAUGGGCGCAAGCCUGAUGCAGCGACGCCGCGUGAGGGAUGACGGCCUUCGGGUUGUAAACCUCUUUCAGUAGGGAAGAAGCGAAAGUGACGGUACCUGCAGAAGAAGCGCCGGCUAACUACGUGCCAGCAGCCGCGGUAAUACGUAGGGCGCAAGCGUUAUCCGGAAUUAUUGGGCGUAAAGAGCUCGUAGGCGGUUUGUCGCGUCUGCUGUGAAAGACCGGGGCUCAACUCCGGUUCUGCAGUGGGUACGGGCAGACUAGAGUGCAGUAGGGGAGACUGGAAUUCCUGGUGUAGCGGUGAAAUGCGCAGAUAUCAGGAGGAACACCGAUGGCGAAGGCAGGUCUCUGGGCUGUAACUGACGCUGAGGAGCGAAAGCAUGGGGAGCGAACAGGAUUAGAUACCCUGGGUAGUCCAUGCCGUAAACGUUGGGCACUAGGUGUGGGGGACAUUCCACGUUUU